This 722-nucleotide small RNA is filed under the name Arabidopsis thaliana (thale cress). RNAcentral's name for it is "ATSL027670". The record is from RNAcentral. Lineage: Eukaryota; Viridiplantae; Streptophyta; Magnoliopsida; Brassicales; Brassicaceae.
UAGGGAAAUUUGCAAAUAUAGCCAACAAAAAAAUUAUAAUUGCAAAACUAACACUUCAACCAAUAUGUAUUGAACUUUAUGCAAUAUUGACAAACUUAACCCGUGCGUGAGCACACGCGCUUAUUCUUCUUCUUCUGAGUUUUCAAUCGAUAACUUCUAUGUAUUACUCUGUAAAAAUUCAAAUAGAGGUGAACAUUCAGAGAAGUUACAGUAAGAAAAUCUGAAAAUUCUGGGCUUUAAAAAGCGACACCCGGGAAAGUUUCGAAGAGCAGACUGCGUGUGCAAUCCGAGUGACGAUUCUAGAGUUUACGAAGAUUGAAUUUGUGGGUUUCGAUUUGGGGACUGUGGAGGCUUCGAUUUCUGGCAAUCGGACUGCAUAAAUCUUCUGCAAUUGGAGGAGGAGCCUAUCUAAGCAUCCGAGUUUCGUACAACACUUAUGUUGGCUCUUUUCUCAAUCGAGGGUUUUUGAUUCCGUUGAGAGUACUUGAGUGAGUUUUGUUGUACGGGAGUAGAGGUGUUUAUAUCUCCGUCGUCUCCACUGUAACACUCGAAUUUCUGUGGCAAUUGGUGUCGGCGAAGGGAUUCAGCCAAAUUAAGGUAUGAAAUGCCAUUUUUUGGCUUUUGGGAAAAUCUUUUUAAUUUGUGUUGAAGAGCUUGAAUAGCAUAAACUCGGAUUUGAGUAGCUUUAGGUAGGGAAUCUGCUUGGUUAAUACGAUAUUCAU